Molecule: ribosomal RNA, 117 nt
Filed under: Klebsiella variicola
Lineage: Bacteria; Pseudomonadati; Pseudomonadota; Gammaproteobacteria; Enterobacterales; Enterobacteriaceae
Source: RNAcentral
CCUGGCGGCGAUAGCGCGGUGGUCCCACCUGACCCCAUGCCGAACUCAGAAGUGAAACGCCGUAGCGCCGAUGGUAGUGUGGGGUCUCCCCAUGUGAGAGUAGGGAAACUGCCAGGC